AGGGAAUCUUCCGCAAUGGGCGAAAGCCUGACGGAGCAACGCCGCGUGAGUGAUGAAGGUCUUCGGAUCGUAAAACUCUGUUAUUAGGGAAGAACAAAUGUGUAAGUAACUGUGCACGUCUUGACGGUACCUAAUCAGAAAGCCACGGCUAACUACGUGCCAGCAGCCGCGGUAAUACGUAGGUGGCAAGCGUUAUCCGGAAUUAUUGGGCGUAAAGCGCGCGUAAGCGGUUUCUUAAGUCUGAUGUGAAAGCCCACGGCUCAACCGUGGAGGGUCAUUGGAAACUGGGAAACUUGAGUGCAGAAGAGGAAAGUGGAAUUCCAUGUGUAGCGGUGAAAUGCGCAGAGAUAUGGAGGAACACCAGUGGCGAAGGCGACUUUCUGGUCUGUAACUGACGCUGAUGUGCGAAAGCGUGGGGAUCAAACAGGAUUAGAUACCCUGGUAGUCCGCGCCGUAAACGAUGAGUGCUAAGUGUUAGGGGGUUUCCGCCCCUUAGUGCUGCAGCUAACGCAUUAAGCACUCCGCCUGGGGAGUACGACCGCAAGGUUG
This 549-nucleotide ribosomal RNA is filed under the name uncultured bacterium. Its description in RNAcentral is "bacterial SSU rRNA". It matches the Rfam family "Bacterial small subunit ribosomal RNA", at positions 356 to 896 of the family's 1533-position model. The record is from RNAcentral.